GAUGAACGCUGGCGUCGUGCCUAAUACAUGCAAGUCGAGCGAACAGACGAGGAGCUUGCUCCUCUGACGUUAGCGGCGGACGGGUGAGUAACACGUGGAUAACCUACCUAUAAGACUGGGAUAACUUCGGGAAACCGGAGCUAAUACCGGAUAAUAUAUUGAACCGCAUGGUUCAAUAGUGAAAGACGGUUUUGCUGUCACUUAUAGAUGGAUCCGCGCCGCAUUAGCUAGUUGGUAAGGUAACGGCUUACCAAGGCAACGAUGCGUAGCCGACCUGAGAGGGUGAUCGGCCACACUGGAACUGAGACACGGUCCAGACUCCUACGGGAGGCAGCAGUAGGGAAUCUUCCGCAAUGGGCGAAAGCCUGUCGGAGCAACGCCGCGUGAGUGAUGAAGGUCUUCGGAUCGUAAAACUCUGUUAUUAGGGAAGAACAAAUGUGUAAGUAACUAUGCACGUCUUGACGGUACCUAAUCAGAAAGCCACGGCUAACUACGUG
Molecule: ribosomal RNA, 497 nt
Filed under: uncultured bacterium
Lineage: Bacteria
Description: partial 16S ribosomal RNA
Rfam family: Bacterial small subunit ribosomal RNA
Source: RNAcentral